GGAGCCAUUGCUUCUGCUUGAGCAGCACAAUCUGGUUCUGCAGCGAUCCAAAUUCGCUCCUCAUAAGCUGCUCGGAAUCCUGGAUUGCCUCCUCCCUCACGCCCUCUUCCUGAAGCCGCUGCCUCAACUUCUCCGUUGAGACGGCCACUUUAUCUAUCGGACGGCCACUUUAUCUAUCGGAGCCAUUAGUUCGCUGUUGGACAUGCGAGGGAACAUGUCCUUCACUGCCUGCAAUGCCUCCAUCCACGCCAAACGAUCCUCCCGCGUCUCCGCUCUCAAAUGGACCCUCUUUGUGCCGGUGAAUAUCGAGAACCUCUUAUCAUCUGAUCUGCUCUCACGGAUCGAUGACACCUUGAGAUGGAUUUCGCCGACUGGAUUGCGCUUGAGCUGAGUGUUACCAUUUUUAGGCCUCGAAAUCCUUCUCAUAGAUUCUUCCCCAAUGACUUUGGAUCCUUUCUCCGUCUCUCGAUUAACGACGAU
Molecule: unclassified non-coding RNA, 480 nt
Filed under: Hevea brasiliensis (rubber tree)
Lineage: Eukaryota; Viridiplantae; Streptophyta; Magnoliopsida; Malpighiales; Euphorbiaceae
Source: RNAcentral